Molecule: ribosomal RNA, 1345 nt
Filed under: uncultured bacterium
Lineage: Bacteria
Description: bacterial SSU rRNA
Rfam family: Bacterial small subunit ribosomal RNA
Source: RNAcentral
GACGAACGCUGGCGGCGUGCUUAACACAUGCAAGUCGAACGAUGAAGCCUAGCUUGCUAGGUGGAUUAGUGGCGAACGGGUGAGUAAUACGUGAGUGACCUACCUUUGACUCUGGGAUAAGCCUGGGAAACUGGGUCUAAUACCGGAUACGACCAAUCUCUGCAUGGGGUGUUGGUGGAAAGCGUUAUGGAGUGGUUUUAGAUGGGCUCACGGCCUAUCAGCUUGUUGGUGAGGUAAUGGCUUACCAAGGCGACGACGGGUAGCCGGCCUGAGAGGGUGACCGGCCACACUGGGACUGAGACACGGCCCAGACUCCUACGGGAGGCAGCAGUGGGGAAUAUUGCACAAUGGGCGCAAGCCUGAUGCAGCGACGCCGCGUGAGGGAUGACGGCCUUCGGGUUGUAAACCUCUGUUAGCAUCGAAGAAGCGAAAGUGACGGUAGGUGCAGAGAAAGCGCCGGCUAACUACGUGCCAGCAGCCGCGGUAAUACGUAGGGCGCGAGCGUUGUCCGGAAUUAUUGGGCGUAAAGAGCUUGUAGGCGGUUGGUCGCGUCUGCUGUGAAGGCCGGGGCUUAACUCCGGUUUUGCAGUGGGUACGGGCUAACUAGAGUGCAGUAGGGGAGACUGGAAUUCCUGGUGUAGCGGUGGAGUGCACAGAUAUCAGGAGGAACACCGAUGGCGAAGGCAGGUCUCUGGGCUGUAACUGACGCUGAGAAGCGAAAGCAUGGGGAGCGAACAGGAUUAGAUACCCUGGUAGUCCAUGCCGUAAACGUUGGGCACUAGGUGUGGGGGACAUUCCACGUUUUCCGCGCCGUAGCUAACGCAUUAAGUGCCCCGCCUGGGGAGUACGGCCGCAAGGCUAAAACUCAAAGGAAUUGACGGGGGCCCGCACAAGCGGCGGAGCAUGCGGAUUAAUUCGAUGCAACGCGAAGAACCUUACCAAGGCUUGACAUGCAUUAGAUCGCGUCAGAGAUGGCGUUUCCCUUCGGGGCUGGUGUACAGGUGGUGCAUGGUUGUCGUCAGCUCGUGCCGUGAGAUGUUGGGUUAAGUCCCGCAACGAGCGCAACCCUCGUUCUAUGUUGCCAGCGGUUCGGCCGGGGACUCAUAGGAGACUGCCGGGGUUAACUCGGAGGAAGGUGGGGAUGACGUCAAAUCAUCAUGCCCCUUAUGUCUUGGGCUUCACGCAUGCUACAAUGGCCGGUACAGAGGGUUGCGAUACUGUGAGGUGGAGCUAAUCCCUUAAAGCCGGUCUCAGUUCGGAUUGGGGUCUGCAACUCGACCCCAUGAAGUCGGAGUCGCUAGUAAUCGCAGAUCAGCAACGCUGCGGUGAAUACGUUCCCGGGCCU